Molecule: ribosomal RNA, 327 nt
Filed under: Leotiomycetes sp. NK265
Lineage: Eukaryota; Fungi; Ascomycota; Leotiomycetes
Description: eukaryotic LSU rRNA
Rfam family: Eukaryotic large subunit ribosomal RNA
Source: RNAcentral
UGACCUCGGAUCAGGUAGGGAUACCCGCUGAACUUAAGCAUAUCAAUAAGCGGAGGAAAAGAAACCAACAGGGAUUGCCUCAGUAACGGCGAGUGAAGCGGCAACAGCUCAAAUUUGAAAUCUGCCUCUAGGCCGAGUUGUAAUUUGUAGAAGAUGCUUUGGGUGUGGCACUGGUCUAAGUUCCUUGGAACAGGACGUCAUAGAGGGUGAGAAUCCCGUACGUGACUGGCUGCCUUCGCCCGUGUAAAGCUCUUUCAACGAGUCGAGUUGUUUGGGAAUGCAGCUCAAAAUGGGUGGUAUAUUUCAUCUAAAGCUAAAUAUUGGCCA